This 254-nucleotide ribosomal RNA is filed under the name uncultured bacterium. RNAcentral describes it as "partial 16S ribosomal RNA". It matches the Rfam family "Bacterial small subunit ribosomal RNA", at positions 524 to 776 of the family's 1533-position model. The record is from RNAcentral.
GACGUAGGGCGCGAGCGUUGUCCGGAUUUAUUGGGCGUAAAGAGCUCGUAGGCGGCUUGUCGCGUCGACUGUGAAAACCCGUGGCUCAACCAUGUGGUCUGCAGUCGAUACGGGCAGGCUAGAAUUCGGUAGGGGAGACUGGAAUUCCUGGUGUAGCAGUGAAAUGCGUAGAUAUCGAGAGGAACACCAGUGGCGAAGGCGAGUCUCUGGACGACUCCUGACACUGAGGCACGAAAGCUGGGGGAGCAAACAGG